RNAcentral lists this ribosomal RNA (1413 nucleotides) under uncultured bacterium. RNAcentral describes it as "bacterial SSU rRNA". It matches the Rfam family "Bacterial small subunit ribosomal RNA", at positions 38 to 1355 of the family's 1533-position model. The record is from RNAcentral.
GGCGGCGUGCCUUAGGCAUGCAAGUCGAACGGUUGAGGUCGCAAGACCAAGACAGUGGCAGACGGGUGAGUAACGCGUAGGAAUCUACCCCUGGGUAAGGCAUAGCCCCGCGAAAGCGGGGGUAAUACCUUAUAGUUCUCUGAAAAGAGUAAAGGACUUAACGGUCCGCCGAGGGAGGAGCCUGCGUCCUAUCAGCUAGUUGGUGAGGUAAUGGCUUACCAAGGCGAUGACGGGUAGCUGGACUGAGAGGUCGAUCAGCCACAACUGCACUGAGACACGGGCAGUACACCUACGGGUGGCAGCAACCAGGAAUAUUGCGCAAUGGACGAAAGUCUGACGCAGCGACGCCGCGUGGAGGAAGACGGCCUUAGGGUUGUAAACUCCUUUUACCAAGCCGUUCACAGCUUGGAGAAUAAGCCUCUACUAACUACGUGCCAGAAGUCUCGGUAAUACGUAGGAGGCGAGCGUUAUCCGGAUUUAUUGGGCGUAAAGUGUGCGUAGGCGCCCCAUUAAGUCGUGCUUUAAAUACUAAGGCUUACCCUUAGAGCUGAGUACGAUACUGUUGGGGUUGAGGAUUGACAGGGCAGCUGGAACAGUACGUGUAGCAGUGAAAUGCGUUGAUAUGUACUGGAACACCAAGGGCGAAAGCAGGCUGCUGGGUUUUUCCUGACGCUUGAGGCACGAAAAGCUAGGGUAGCGAAACMAGAUUAGAUACCUGUGUAGUCCUAGCNGUAAACGAUGUCCGCUAACUGUCACUCGCAAAGUGCAUAAGCACUUUUGCGAGAAAUUCGAAGUACGAAUAUUGAAAGACGAAACAAAUUUAAAAUACAAAUGACUUUGAAUAUUGUUUCGUAUUUGGGAUUUAGAAUUUCGGAUUUCCGCAAAAAGCUUAAGCUUUUUGCGAGUGGCGGUUCAAGCUAACGCGUUAAGCGGACCGCCUGGGGAGUACGACCGCAAGGUUAAAACUCAAAGGAAUUGACGGGGACCCGCACAACUGGUGGAGCGUGUGGUUUAAUUCGAGACAAAGCGAAACACCUUACCAGGGCUUGACAUGCUAUCGUUUUAUACCUUUUGAAAGAUUGGUAGAUCCGCAAGGAUGAUAGCACAGGUGAUGCAUGGCUGUCGUCAGCUCGUGUCGUGAGAUGUUCCCUUAAGUGGGGAAACGAGCGCAACCCCCGCGAAAUGUUACAUAUUCAUUUCGGACGGUCCCGAUCAUAUCGGGAAGGAAGGAGGGGAAGACGUCAAGUCAGCACGUCCCUUAUGCCCUGGGUUACACACACCCUACAAUGGCGAAUAACAAAGAGCAGCAAGCCGGCGACGGCAAGCAAAUCUCUAAAAUUUCGCCUCAGUUCAGAUUGCAGUCUGCAACCCGACUGCAUGAAGGAGGAAUCAGUAGUAAUCGCGAAUCAGCAG